RNAcentral lists this long non-coding RNA (961 nucleotides) under Setaria viridis. RNAcentral's name for it is "long non-coding RNA (SVIR_LNC009534)". The record is from RNAcentral. Lineage: Eukaryota; Viridiplantae; Streptophyta; Magnoliopsida; Poales; Poaceae.
UUUGAAGCACAACCAAGGAGGUAGGUUAUAAAGAAUUAGGAUCACUAGCCAUGUAGUGUAAGUCACAUUCAACAUCCCAAAUGGAUUGAAGCCAUCCGAUGCAAGUCCCACCCUAACAUUACGUGGAUCACUUGCAAAUGUAGUAUACUUGGCAUCUACAUGCCUCCAUGCCUUUGAGUUAGCUGGGUGCCGCACUUUCCCAUCUUCAACAAAUUCUUCCUUGUGCCAACGCAUAUGCGCCGAUGUGGUCUCGUUCAUAUAUAAUCUCUGAAGUCGAGGAAUAAGUAGAAAAUACCUCAGUAUCUUAUAAGGUAAGAGCUUCUUCUUUACUCCACCAGUGCUAUCACCACCACACUCUAAAUAUGUAUCAUUCCACCUACUCUCCCCACAUUUUGGACAUGCGUUCAACUUCUCGUAAUCUUCUCCACGGAAUAACACACAGUCAUUAACACAAGCAUGAAUCUUUUGGUAGUCCAAGCCAAGGUCUCAAACUACCUUUUGAACUUUGUCCAGGGUAUCUGGGACACAAUGGUCCUUGGGAAGCACAUGGCUGAAUAAUAACAGUACUUGCUCUAGAGCAUUGUUGCUAAUACCUAACAUGCACUUAAUCUGAUAUAGCCUCACAAUAAAAGAUAUUUGGGUAGCCUCCUUGCAACCUAGGUACAGUUCUUUCCUAGCUUCUUCCAUUAACUUGAAAAAUUUCCUUACUGACUCAUUUGGUUCCUCAAUAUUACCACCUCUAAUUUCACCAUGUAUGGCACCACUAAUUAGCAAUAAAAACAGUUUAGUGGAUGAGACACCAUCAUCAUGAUCACCUUCUUCACCUUCACAAAUGUCUCGAUCAUCAUCGUCCACAACAAUACGUUUAGCAAAUCUGCCAAUAUGAUGCUAUUUUUUAUAAUACGGAUCAAACCCUCUAGUAUUCAAGUGCAACUCAACAACUUCUUUAUUUUGAUAUGCC